Molecule: small nucleolar RNA, 107 nt
Filed under: Eutrema salsugineum
Lineage: Eukaryota; Viridiplantae; Streptophyta; Magnoliopsida; Brassicales; Brassicaceae
Description: Plant small nucleolar RNA R71
Rfam family: Plant small nucleolar RNA R71
About the family: R71 is a member of the C/D box family of snoRNAs containing the C (UGAUGA) and D (CUGA) box motifs. Multiple nearly identical copies of this snoRNA have been identified in Arabidopsis, and it is thought to function as a 2'-O-ribose methylation guide for 18S ribosomal RNA.
Source: Rfam by way of RNAcentral
AACCCAUGGUGAGGGCACUAGUUUGUAUAGCUUCUAAAUUUUUCCCAUGUUUCCCCAAAGCUCUCAUUGUUGUAUUGGCUAAAGCUUGAGAUUUAAUUCAUCAACUU